This 491-nucleotide ribosomal RNA is filed under the name uncultured bacterium. RNAcentral describes it as "partial 16S ribosomal RNA". It matches the Rfam family "Bacterial small subunit ribosomal RNA", at positions 29 to 506 of the family's 1533-position model. The record is from RNAcentral.
AGUGAACGCUGGCGGUAGGCCUAACACAUGCAAGUCGAACGGCAGCACAGUAAGAGCUUGCUCUUACGGGUGGCGAGUGGCGGACGGGUGAGGAAUACAUCGGAAUCUACUUUUUCGUGGGGGAUAACGUAGGGAAACUUACGCUAAUACCGCAUACGACCUACGGGUGAAAGCAGGGGAUCUUCGGACCUUGCGCGAUUGAAUGAGCCGAUGUCGGAUUAGCUAGUUGGCGGGGUAAAGGCCCACCAAGGCGACGAUCCGUAGCUGGUCUGAGAGGAUGAUCAGCCACACUGGAACUGAGACACGGUCCAGACUCAUACGGGAGGCAGCAGUGGGGAAUAUUGGACAAUGGGCGCAAGCCUGAUCCAGCCAUACCGCGUGGGUGAAGAAGGCCUUCGGGUUGUAAAGCCCUUUUGUUGGGAAAGAAAAGCAGCAGGUUAAUACCCCGCUGUUCUGACGGUACCCAAAGAAUAAGCACCGGCUAACUUCGU